Molecule: unclassified non-coding RNA, 281 nt
Filed under: Hevea brasiliensis (rubber tree)
Lineage: Eukaryota; Viridiplantae; Streptophyta; Magnoliopsida; Malpighiales; Euphorbiaceae
Source: RNAcentral
AAUUGAUCAAUUCCAACCUUAUAUAAACUAGACAAUGAAAAUAAGGGGUUAAAAAAACCAAAAAGAAAAACUAUAUGCACAAAUGUGUAAAUAUCACUUUACACAAAAUAAGCCUCCAUUAGACUUUCAUGUAUACACUGGAAUGCAUGGGAUCAUCUAGGACCAGAUAACUCAUCAGGAGGGAUGUGGGAAGUAGAAUCAACGAUCCAGUUUGUGUUUGGGUGGUGGGUGUGGUUAAAUUCUUGGCGGAACAUCUCCUCUUUCUGCCACUCCUCCCAUCU